This 882-nucleotide non-coding RNA is filed under the name Pan troglodytes (chimpanzee). The record is from RNAcentral. Lineage: Eukaryota; Metazoa; Chordata; Mammalia; Primates; Hominidae.
GUACCACUCAGACAGAGGAAUGAGACUCUUCUAUGCUUGCCCCAGACAGUUCUUAUCUGGUGUUCCUCUUUCAAAGUUGUCAUGCUGUAAAGUUGUGUUUUCACUGAUUUGCUGGAGUGCAGCAGCAUGAUUACAGCUCACAUCAGCCUCGACCUCCCGGGCUCAAGCUAUCCUCCUACCUCAGCCUCCCAAGUAGCUGGGACUAUAGGAUCUUUCUGCUGAUGCAGCUGUUAAGAGUGUUUCAUAAACUGUGACAACACUGAGCAAAAUCAUAGAAGGAAACUCUAUGGACAAUUUCAGAUGGAGAAGAAGAAAGGACUGGAAGUUCAAUUUGGCCAUGACAAUUAGACUUGAAGAAGCUGAGUGAGAAGGCCAUGCAGAUAUCUUGGAGAAGUGCAUUCCAGGCAGAGGAAAAGCCAGUGCAGAGACACUGAAGCAGGGCAUGACUGAUGUGUAUAAGGAGCAUCAUAUACAUGAUCAUCUACAGUCCACUGAGAAUAGCAGACGAAAGGCCAGGUGCAGUGCAUGUAAUCCCAGCACUUUGGGAGACUGAGAUGGGAAGAUCGCUUGAGGCCAGGAGUGCAAGACCAGCCUGGGCAACACAGCAAGACCUUGACUCUACUAAAAAAAAAAAAGGAUCCUUCAACUUCAACAAUAAUAACACGAGGGAAGUGAAGAAAAACACUUUCUAAGGAAAUCUCUCUCUGAGCUACCAUCCUGCUAGGGAGAGCCUGAAAGCAGAAUGCUGACUUGACUAGCUCUGGUCAAUGAAAGAAAUCACUAGUGGAAAGGCUACCAGGGGGCUUUCUCAAAAGAGAGGGACAGUAAACUGCAAGAUGAACAACUCAAUGCCAUCCAGGUCUGGAUGAGAAAGAACAGUCG